GAUGAACGCUGGCGGCGUGCUUAACACAUGCAAGUCGAACGGUGAAGGCGGAGCUUGCUCUGCUGGAUCAGUGGCGAACGGGUGAGUAACACGUGAGCAAUCUGCCCCUGACUCUGGGAUAAGCGCUGGAAACGGCGUCUAAUACUGGAUACGAGCUGCGAAGGCAUCUUCAGCAGCUGGAAAGAAUUUCGGUCAGGGAUGAGCUCGCGGCCUAUCAGCUUGUUGGUGAGGUAAUGGCUCACCAAGGCGUCGACGGGUAGCCGGCCUGAGAGGGUGACCGGCCACUGUGGGGCGGAGCGAGGGCCGAGACUCCGAGGGGGGGAAGCGGGGGGGAAUAUGGCACAGGGGGGGAGGGCGGGAUGCAGAAGCGCGGGGGGGGGGAGGACGGCUUGGGUUUUAUAACCCUUUUUGAGCGGGAAAGAAGCAAAAGUGAGGGUCCCUAAAAAAAAGGCGCGGGCAAACUACGUG
RNAcentral lists this ribosomal RNA (468 nucleotides) under uncultured bacterium. RNAcentral describes it as "partial 16S ribosomal RNA". It matches the Rfam family "Bacterial small subunit ribosomal RNA", at positions 28 to 507 of the family's 1533-position model. The record is from RNAcentral.